RNAcentral lists this ribosomal RNA (1271 nucleotides) under Klebsiella pneumoniae. Its description in RNAcentral is "bacterial LSU rRNA". It matches the Rfam family "Bacterial large subunit ribosomal RNA", at positions 1678 to 2925 of the family's 2925-position model. The record is from RNAcentral. Lineage: Bacteria; Pseudomonadati; Pseudomonadota; Gammaproteobacteria; Enterobacterales; Enterobacteriaceae.
AUACCAAGGCGCUUGAGAGAACUCGGGUGAAGGAACUAGGCAAAAUGGUGCCGUAACUUCGGGAGAAGGCACGCUGGUGUGUAGGUGAAGUCCCUGCGGAUGGAGCUGAGACCAGUCGAAGAUACCAGCUGGCUGCAACUGUUUAUUAAAAACACAGCACUGUGCAAACACGAAAGUGGACGUAUACGGUGUGACGCCUGCCCGGUGCCGGAAGGUUAAUUGAUGGGGUUAUCCGUAAGGAGAAGCUCUUGAUCGAAGCCCCGGUAAACGGCGGCCGUAACUAUAACGGUCCUAAGGUAGCGAAAUUCCUUGUCGGGUAAGUUCCGACCUGCACGAAUGGCGUAAUGAUGGCCAGGCUGUCUCCACCCGAGACUCAGUGAAAUUGAACUCGCUGUGAAGAUGCAGUGUACCCGCGGCAAGACGGAAAGACCCCGUGAACCUUUACUAUAGCUUGACACUGAACAUUGAGCCUUGAUGUGUAGGAUAGGUGGGAGGCUUUGAAGCGUGGACGCCAGUCUGCGUGGAGCCAACCUUGAAAUACCACCCUUUAAUGUUUGAUGUUCUAACGUUGGCCCCUGACCGGGGUUGCGGACAGUGUCUGGUGGGUAGUUUGACUGGGGCGGUCUCCUCCCAAAGCGUAACGGAGGAGCACGAAGGUUAGCUAAUCCUGGUCGGACAUCAGGAGGUUAGUGCAAUGGCAUAAGCUAGCUUGACUGCGAGCGUGACGGCGCGAGCAGGUGCGAAAGCAGGUCAUAGUGAUCCGGUGGUUCUGAAUGGAAGGGCCAUCGCUCAACGGAUAAAAGGUACUCCGGGGAUAACAGGCUGAUACCGCCCAAGAGUUCAUAUCGACGGCGGUGUUUGGCACCUCGAUGUCGGCUCAUCACAUCCUGGGGCUGAAGUAGGUCCCAAGGGUAUGGCUGUUCGCCAUUUAAAGUGGUACGCGAGCUGGGUUUAGAACGUCGUGAGACAGUUCGGUCCCUAUCUGCCGUGGGCGCUGGAGAAUUGAGGGGGGCUGCUCCUAGUACGAGAGGACCGGAGUGGACGCAUCACUGGUGUUCGGGUUGUCAUGCCAAUGGCACUGCCCGGUAGCUAAAUGCGGAAGAGAUAAGUGCUGAAAGCAUCUAAGCACGAAACUUGCCCCGAGAUGAGUUCUCCCUGAGACUUUAAGUCUCCUGAAGGAACGUUGAAGACGACGACGUUGAUAGGCCGGGUGUGUAAGCGCAGCGAUGCGUUGAGCUAACCGGUACUAAUGAACCGUGAGGCUUAACCUU